GUCCAAGCAGUGAGUGUGAGAAGUAGGCAAAUCCGCUUCUCGCGAAGCAUGAGCUGUGAUGGGGAAGGAAAUUAAGUACGGAAGUUCCUGAUUUCACGCUGUCAAGAAAAGCCUCUAGGAAGAGUAGUACUGCCCGUACCGCAAACCGACACAGGUAGAUGAGGAGAGAAUCCUAAGGUGAGCGAGAGAACUCUCGUUAAGGAACUCGGCAAAAUGACCCCGUAACUUCGGGAGAAGGGGUGCUCUAUUAGGGUGCAAGCCCGAGAGAGCCGCAGUGAAUAGGCCCAGGCGACUGUUUAGCAAAAACACAGGUCUCUGCAAAACCGUAAGGUGACGUAUAGGGGCUGACGCCUGCCCGGUGCUGGAAGGUUAAGAGGAGUGCUUAGCUUCGGCGAAGGUACGAAUUGAAGCCCCAGUAAACGGCGGCCGUAACUAUAACGGUCCUAAGGUAGCGAAAUUCCUUGUCGGGUAAGUUCCGACCCGCACGAAAGGCGCAACGAUCUGGGCACUGUCUCAACGAGAGACUCGGUGAAAUUAUAGUACCUGUGAAGAUGCAGGUUACCCGCGACAGGACGGAAAGACCCCGUGGAGCUUUACUGCAACCUGAUAUGGAAUGUUUGUACCGCUUGUACAGGAUAGGUAGGAGCCGAAGAGACGUGUGCGCUAGCAUACGAGGAGGCAAUGGUGGGAUACUACCCUGGCUGUAUGACCAUUCUAACCCGCCACGCUUAGCGCGUGGGGAGACAGUGUCAGGUGGGCAGUUUGACUGGGGCGGUCGCCUCCUAAAGAGUAACGGAGGCGCCCAAAGGUUCCCUCAGAAUGGAUGGAAAUCAUUCGCAGAGUGUAAAGGCACAAGGGAGCUUGACUGCGAGACUGACAAGUCGAGCAGGGACGAAAGUCGGGCUUAGUGAUCCGGUGGUUCCGCAUGGAAGGGCCAUCGCUCAACGGAUAAA
RNAcentral lists this ribosomal RNA (953 nucleotides) under Listeria monocytogenes. RNAcentral describes it as "partial 23S ribosomal RNA". It matches the Rfam family "Bacterial large subunit ribosomal RNA", at positions 1510 to 2460 of the family's 2925-position model. Lineage: Bacteria; Bacillati; Bacillota; Bacilli; Caryophanales; Listeriaceae. The record is from RNAcentral.